Molecule: ribosomal RNA, 549 nt
Filed under: uncultured Glomeromycotina
Lineage: Eukaryota; Fungi; Glomeromycota
Description: SSU rRNA
Rfam family: Eukaryotic small subunit ribosomal RNA
Source: RNAcentral
UUGGAGGGCAAGUCUGGUGCCAGCAGCCGCGGUAAUUCCAGCUCCAAUAGCGUAUAUUAAAGUUGUUGCAGUUAAAAAGCUCGUAGUUGAAUUUCGGGAUCAAUUUAUUGGUCGUGCCAACGGUACGCACUGGUACAAUUGGUUUCUCCCUUCUGACGAAGCAUGAUGUCGUUAAUUUGAUGUCGUGGGGAAUCAGGACUGUUACUUUGAAAAAAUUAGAGUGUUUAAAGCAGGCUUUGGCUUGAAUACAUUAGCAUGGAAUAAUGAAAUAGGACGUUUGAUCUUAUUUCGUUGGUUUCUAAGAUCGACGUAAUGAUUAAUAGGGAUAGUUGGGGGCAUUAGUAUUCAAUUGUCAGAGGUGAGAUUCUUGGAUUUAUUGAAGACUAACUACUGCGAAAGCAUUUGCCAAGGAUGUUUUCAUUAAUCAAGAACGAAAGUUAGGGGAUCGAAGACGAUCAGAUACCGUCGUAGUCUUAACCAUAAACUAUGCCGACUAGGGAUCGGAUGAUGUUAAUUUUUUAAUGACUCAUUCGGCGCCUUACGGGAAAC